AUCCUUUAUGGUUCAUAAAUAUGAUGGUUGGGUUUUCACACUGCUGUGUGAGAUAUAUCUCCCUCAAACUUAAAUAAGUUAUACAUUUUAAUAUAUAAUGACCCUUUUAUGAUGUCAGCAUAUGAAUGACCCAGCUGAUG
This is a small nucleolar RNA of Macaca fascicularis (crab-eating macaque), 140 nucleotides long. The record is from Ensembl. NCBI's taxonomy places the organism in Eukaryota, Metazoa, Chordata, Mammalia, Primates, Cercopithecidae.